AUGGCACCGAGCAAGCUCCGCAAGGCGCUGGGAGCGGUCAAGGACAAGACCAGCAUCGGUCUGGCCAAGGUGGGCGGCGGCAGCGGUUUCGCGUCGCCGGAGCUCGAAGUGGCCAUCGUCAAGGCCACCAAGCACGAUGAGAACUUCCCCGCCGACGAGCGCCACAUCCGCGAGAUCGUCUCGCUCACGCGCGACUCCCGCGGGUCCGCCAGCGCCUGCGUGGCCGCGCUGUCGCGCCGUCUCGGGCGCACCCGGAGUUGGGACGUGGCGCUCAAGACGCUGGUGAUCGUGCACCGCCUCCUCGCCGAAGGCGAUCCGGUGUUCGAGCAGGAGCUAUUCUACGCCACGCGGCGGGGCACGCGCAUGCUCAACAUGUCCGACUUCUGCGGCCGCGCUAGCGACGACGACGCGUGGGACUACUCCGCGUUCGUCCGCACCUACGCCGCUUACCUCGACGACCGCCUCGAGCACCGGAUACAGGCCAGGCAGGGCGGCCCCAACCGCUGCAAGCUGCUCCGCGACGAGCUCUACGUGUCCCCCGGAGACCGCCUCAGCCGCGAGGGUGUUGACGGGAGUAAACGGGAGGAUGCGGCGGCGGACGCCGACGCCGCCAAGGCGGGGGCGAUCGCGCCGAGGGAGACGCCGACGAGCGAGAUGACGCUGGAGCAGCUCCUCGCCAAGGUCCAGCAACUGCAGCAUCUCCUCGACCGAUUCAUCGCCUGCCGACCCGCAGGCGCGGCGAAGACGAACCGGGUGGUGUCGGUGUCUCUGUACCCGCUGGUGAAGGAGAGCGUGCAGCUGUACUGCGAGCUCACGGAGGUCAUGGCCGCGCUCAUGGAGCGGUUCCCGGACAUGGAGAGCGCGGACUGCGAGCGCGUGACCGGAGUCUUCUGCGGCCUCGCCAAGCAGAUCGAGGAUCUCGACUCUUUCUACGCGUGGUGCAAGGACGCCUACGUCUGCCGCCAGUCCGACGUGCCGGAAGUGGAGGUCAUCACGCAGGAGAGGCUAGAGCUCAUGGACGAGUUCAUCUGCGACAGGCGCGGCGCCGAGUAUCUGCGGAGGCUGCCGCCGCCGUCGCCGGAGCCGUCCAGCCCGGAGCCAGAGGUCGAGGAGUACGACAUGAGCGCCGCCAGGGCCCUUCCGGCGCCCGCGGAGCCGCCGGCUGCCGUGGAGAAGGAGCCCGAUGCCAGCGAGACGGCGCAUGCUGAGCCGGAGGCUCCGCUGAUCACAACCGACGUGGUCGACGAGGAGGCGGACUUCUUGAACUUGAAGGCGGACGCCAUGUCCGGGGAAGAGCACGGGCGGCAGCUGGCGCUGGCCCUGUUCGACGGCAACCCGGCCGGAUCGGCGCCGACAUGCGACGUGUUCGACCCGUCAUCGGCGGACUGGGAGACGGCAUUGGUCGAGUCGGCGAGCGCGCUCGCGAACCAGCGCGCGAUGCUAGGGGGCGGGCUCGACAUGAUGGCCCUCGAAGGCAUGUACAACCACGCAACGGCGGCGAACGCGCAGGCGUUCUCCGGCAGCGCGAGCAGCGUGGCCUUGCGGCCGCCCGGAGCGCCCAUGCUGGCCCUGCCUGCGCCGCCGGGGAUGUGCAGCGCCGCGCCAGGUGGGGACCCCUUCGCGGCGUCGAUGGUGGUGCCGCCGCCGACGUACGUGCAGAUGUCCGACAUGCAGACGAAGCAGCAGCUUCUGACGGAGGAGCAGAUGGCGUGGCAACAAUAUGGCAAGAAUGGCAUGCAAGGGCAGGGGGGCCUGGCAAUGCGAGAGCAGAGACCGCAGCAGCUCAUGCCUCCUGGCGUUUACCAUCGUGCUUCUUAG
This 1818-nucleotide ribosomal RNA is filed under the name Triticum aestivum (bread wheat). RNAcentral's name for it is "partial small subunit ribosomal RNA". The record is from RNAcentral. Lineage: Eukaryota; Viridiplantae; Streptophyta; Magnoliopsida; Poales; Poaceae.